Ornithodoros turicata is the source of this 276-nucleotide long non-coding RNA. RefSeq lists it as uncharacterized. NCBI's taxonomy places the organism in Eukaryota, Metazoa, Arthropoda, Arachnida, Ixodida, Argasidae. The record is from RefSeq and is a predicted model, not a curated record. The transcript has 4 exons.
UGAAAGAGAGGGCAUUUCUGGCCACAUUCCUGGGCAUUUCCCAUUUUCGUUCCUGUUUCUUCGAGAAAGUGUUUGAAAGAGAGGACAUUUCUGGCCGCAUUCCUGUUCAUUUCCCAUUUUCGUUCUUGUUUGUUCGAGAAAGGGAGAACACUUCUGGCCACAUUCCUGGGCAUUUCCAUUUUUCGUGAUUGUUUCUCGAUAAAGGGUUUGAAAGGGAGAACACUUCUGGCCACAUUCCUCGGCAUUUCCAUUUUUCGGGAUUGUUUCUCGAGAAAG